This 519-nucleotide long non-coding RNA is filed under the name Equus caballus (horse). RNAcentral describes it as "lncRNA (ENSECAG00000034677.3)". Lineage: Eukaryota; Metazoa; Chordata; Mammalia; Perissodactyla; Equidae. The record is from RNAcentral.
CCUGCCUCUAGGCUUGCGGAACCAACUGCUGGGAGGCAGCUGGGUUUGCAGAGAGGCCGGUGGUCAGCAGCACCUGUGAGGCUAUCAGUCCCUUCUUGGAACGGUUCUUCAAAAUUUACAGUAUGGAAAGCCCAGCGGUGAUGUUCAAGCCUCUACUGAGAAAACAGCAAGGGCUUUGGAUCAGGACAGACCUGAUGUCCUUGACUUUUGCGUAUGUCCUCUUUGCGUUUUGGAAUCCCAUUCUGGAUACCGCAUCACAUUUAGUCAUCGCAUCUCAUCUCGGCUGUGGCAGAUGUGAACAAGACCUCAUGAUGCUAUAGUUGCUGCUGGCAGCCAUCUUGUGACCAAAACAAGAAGGGCUUUUAGGAUAAAGGAAACACUCUAGACAGCAGAGGAGAAAGACAAAAACAUCUGUAUCCCUGAUGUCAUAGCUUGAGCCAUGGAAUCAAAUCACCCUGCAGUUGGCUGUUGUACUUCUUGCUAUGUGAAAUAAUACAGUUCCUUAUUGUUUAAGCCUGA